Molecule: ribosomal RNA, 638 nt
Filed under: uncultured Actinomycetes bacterium
Lineage: Bacteria; Bacillati; Actinomycetota; Actinomycetes
Description: bacterial SSU rRNA
Rfam family: Bacterial small subunit ribosomal RNA
Source: RNAcentral
CGCGGCCUAUCAGCUUGUUGGUGAGGUAACGGCUCACCAAGGCAUCGACGGGUAGCUGGUUUGAGAGAACGAUCAGCCACACUGGAACUGAGACACGGUCCAGACUCCUACGGGAGGCAGCAGUGGGGAAUCUUGCACAAUGGGCGAAAGCCUGAUGCAGCGACGCCGCGUGGGGGAUGAAGGCCUUAGGGUCGUAAACCCCUUUCAGUAGGGAAGAAAAUGACGGUACCUACAGAAGAAGCUCCGGCCAACUACGUGCCAGCAGCCGCGGUAAGACGUAGGGGGCGAGCGUUGUCCGGAUUUAUUGGGCGUAAAGGGCUCGUAGGCGGUUACGUAAGUCGGAUGUGAAAACUCGAGGCUCAACUUCGAGACGCCAUCCGAUACUGCGUUGACAUGAGUCCGGUAGAGGAGUGUGGAAUUCCUAGUGUAGCGGUGAAAUGCGCAGAUAUUAGGAGGAACACCUAUUGCGAAGGCAGCACUCUGGGCCGGUACUGACGCUGAGGAGCGAAAGCAUGUGUAGCAAACAGGAUUAGAUACCCUGGUAGUCCAUGCCGUAAACGGUGUGCACUAGAUGUGGGGACUUUCAACGGUUUCCGCGUCGUAGCUAACGCAUUAAGUGCCCCGCCUGGGGAGUACGG